RNAcentral lists this transfer RNA (73 nucleotides) under Agrilus planipennis (emerald ash borer). It matches the Rfam family "tRNA". From Rfam's summary of the family: Transfer RNA (tRNA) molecules are approximately 80 nucleotides in length. Their secondary structure includes four short double-helical elements and three loops (D, anti-codon, and T loops). The record is from Rfam by way of RNAcentral. Lineage: Eukaryota; Metazoa; Arthropoda; Insecta; Coleoptera; Buprestidae.
AUUCUCAUAGCUUAAUGGUUAGAGCGUUGACGCAUAAAGCUAAAGGUCCCGGGUUCGAUUCCCGGCGAGGGUG